CUAAGAUGUACUCUGUUAUGGCUGAUGAGGCUAGAGAUGGGCACACGGAACAACUUGCAGUUUGUGUAUGUUUUGUGUCAUGUAAAGGCCAUUUCAAAGAGUGUUUUCUUGGUCUACGGAAACUAGAAAGGUUUGCAGACCCUAUUGAGGAGCUGUUGCAGUAUUACACGCUCAGUGACUUACUUUGUGUUGCACAAUCCUAGUUCGCAGAAGUCGAGUCUACGGUAGUGCAGAGUCUACACUGUCUGUAGACCGUUACGUCUUUUCAUUGGCCCGGAGUCUACGGUGAACAUAGACACUGUAGACUCAGGUCAAUAGGAGCACCGAAUCCCACUGUAGACGACCAAUCGUCUGGUCAACGGAAGUUGCGUCACCAAAACAACAAAAUGCAGCGGAACAGCGAGGAAGCCGGCAAGUCCACUAUUUUUUAUGGAAACUGACAUUUCUUUUAUGUUUACGGUAAGUUAUCGACUCUAAGACACUCCUGGAUUUAGCUAAAGUACACGACGCUGAAUACCUAAUUUAACCUUUUUUAACUCCAAUUUCUAGUCCUGGUAUGGCGACACCAACGAUUUGGGUAGUUAAUCCAGAUGCCCCUGCACAUCAUCAGCUGGCACUACUUAUGGCAACCAAAGAGAGAAGCUUCUUCAAGCCGAGGGUAUCCACGCGCCUUCACGUCAGCAGUGCCUGGGAAAGCUGGUGGUGCCAUUUGGAUAAUAUGAAAAUGUGGGGGAUAUAUGAAGUACAACAGCUGACAAGUACCCCCAGGUGUGAUCCUUCAUUGUGGCCAGGUGAUGAUGCUGAACUGAUAGCUGCAUCCCAGUCUGUGGAAGAUUCACUGAAGUCCCAACACUCCUUGUCUGCAAGUCAACCUCUAAAGCAACGGCUGACAAGCAGAGGUGCUUCCUCCUCCCAGACGUCUGGAACACAGGAGAACUCAGCUCCCCUGUCCAAGGAGUUUGAGAACACUGUACAGUCACAUCAAAAUAAAGCUACUGUGCAGCCCAAACAUCGUGAGUCCACAGAGACUGCCGUACGGUCCAAAAAACUUGACACCAUUGGACUCACUGAGUCAUCUGCAUCCCAGGGUCAUGAUCAUACAACACAAUUACCGUUGAGUCAUUCACCUGUGGAGACUAAGGGAUGGGUGCGUCUCUGGGAAAAUCCCAAUGGUAUCCCAUCUGCUGACAUUUCCUGGCUUAAAGAGGACACUGAAAGAGGGCUGUUUACCCCUGUUCAGACAUACAAGGAUGUUACUGGUGUGUUAAAGAGGCGACGGGUGAUUAAAUCAGAUCGCAUGUGGUUUUACCCACCAGAACCUCCUGGCGUUGCGGUUGUUGUUGUUGUUGUUUUUUCCCGUACUCUUUACAACACAAUGAUCACGACAUUAUACUUCUUCUUCUAUCUUUUACAAAACCUUACAUUACAGUCAGAAUCAAGUUCACUGAUUGAUUGCAGUGCUGUCUUUGUGUUUUACUGAUUGAUUGCAGUGUUGUCUUUGUGUUUCACUGUUUCAUUCAUUUUAAUAAAGUGUUUUGUAUUACAGUAACAGUGAGUUGUGGAAUAACUUAAUGAAUGAAUGACUUAGACUUACUGAGCUUCUUUGAAUCAGCAUCACUAUAGCCCGAAAGGCACUGACAAAACAUACAAGCAUAAAUAAAUACAAUCUAUAGAAAG
This is a long non-coding RNA of Oreochromis aureus, 1677 nucleotides long. The record is from Ensembl. NCBI's taxonomy places the organism in Eukaryota, Metazoa, Chordata, Actinopteri, Cichliformes, Cichlidae.